GACAGGAAGUCCAGUGGAAAGAGCCGGGGAUUGAAAAUCCUCGUGUCGGUGGUUCGAUUCCGCCCCCGGGCAGCA
Molecule: transfer RNA, 75 nt
Filed under: Rhodobacteraceae bacterium HIMB11
Lineage: Bacteria; Pseudomonadati; Pseudomonadota; Alphaproteobacteria; Rhodobacterales; Paracoccaceae
Description: tRNA-OTHER
Source: RNAcentral